This 51-nucleotide ribosomal RNA is filed under the name uncultured bacterium. RNAcentral's name for it is "partial 16S ribosomal RNA". The record is from RNAcentral.
CACCCCAGUUACCAGUCACUCCUUAAAGACCUGCCCCCUUGCGGGUUAGCG